UCCAGGCAACCUUGUGAAGAGCCCUUCCCACUCCCCCAGCCCUCUCUGGCCAACUGAUUGCAGGCAGGGCACAUGGAGAAUGAUUCACCAGCACUCUAACCCCCUCCUGGUGCCUCUUAUCAAACGCCUCUCUGCAGACCUUUGAGACUGACAUCAGCCCAGCUCCCCACACCUGGUUCCAAGCCUGCUCAGAGCUGGUGAAAAAUGUUCUCCUUUGAGUUCUUGACCUCCUGGCUCCCUGGCUUCCCCAGCUUGGCCUGGGGUUCCACCCUGCUGGACUCUCUCUUGCAAGGGCUAAUAGGAGCCUGUGCCGUGUCUGUCCUCUGCAGCCUGGUGAAGAUUUAUCUCUACAUCCAGUGUCUGAAUGACCCGGACAGGCAGAAGGAGAAGGAGACCAUCCGCUCCCAGUGGUCCCUGCUGGAUCACGUCCACCUCUUUCUACUGACGUUGAUCUUCACGGUGGUUGGGUAUCGCGUGGCUGCUUUGGUGGUGCUGGAGUUUUCCCUCAGGGCUGUGUCUAUGCUGCUGUCCCUGAAUAAGGGGGCCCACAGCAGCCAGUUGUACCUAUUGUGCCAGUACUCCCUGGGGUGCGGCAUCUCCUGCAGCCUCAGCUACCUCCUGGAGGGGGCUCCCCACCGCAGCGGCAACCUGCUCCUCAGCCUGGGCCUGGCCGGCCUGAUCACCUGCUACGUCUGGAGGCUGGCCCGGCACGUCUGCACCAUGUACGAGCUCCACAGCAAGGAGCGCUACUGCGGGGUCUGCAUCUUCCUGCUCACCGCCUGGCACGGCAUCCCCGCCCUGCUCUGCAACGCCCUCAAGAUCACCUUCGUGGUGGCUGACCUGGCCGCUGUCGCGCUGAUCAACAGGGAUUUCCUCACCACCUCGGAGGCCAUUCGCUUCUGGACGCCGCUCACCAUCUGCUACACCCUGCUGGUCAUCUACAUGCAAGAGGAGCAGAGGCAUAACCCCAGCGAGCAGAUGGUCUAUCAGACGGUGUUUGUCAGGAUGGGAGGCUUGCUCAUCCUCCUCAUGACGGUGGGCCGGUGGAUGGACAUCAUGAACAUCUUCAUCUCGCUGGUGGGUGAGAUCUGGUGCCUGGUUCGGGCAGGAAUCAUGCUGGACAUCUGCCGGGCGCAGGAUUUUUCUCAAAGGUUCCCAGAAUCCGGUUCCAGGCAGCCCCAGCCUAGGCCUGAGGCCCAUGGCAGAAAAUCCAGCUCCGUGACCAGGUCCUCCAGUGGAGGGGCCGGAGCCGAGAGGUGAGAAGGGGGCUGCCAUGCUCCAGCGAUGGCGAGACAGGCAAAACCCCAGCGACCGGGACUGAAAUGUGACAUUUUAAGCUCCAGGCCGUGCCCGCUGAAGCGGCUUAAUUCACACGUGCUCCAGUAGCAAACCAGACUCGGGGCCGAUCUGCUGAGGACGUUCUCAAAUGGACAGUUGUUUGCACAGUCCCAGGUUAACUACCUAGAUGACGCUUUGCUCCCCUCAACCCCCCACCCCCAACACCCUGCGGUUGGUCGAAUUGCACUGCUCCCUGGAAAUGGGGAGGCCCCCAUGGCCCUCCGGGCUGCAUCGCAUACUGGAGAAUGGGAAACCGUUCCCCCCCCGCACGCCUGGUCUUGAAAGGGUUCACUUUCCCUGCUGGCUCUUUCCAGAUCGUCUCUAGCUUGCCCCGACCAGCAGCUCUCGUGGGCUAGUGAUGCCAGCCUCUCCGGCGGCCUGAGCUUGCAGUGCUCGUGUCAGGACCCAGCUGUCCCUGGAUCAACCCCAAAGCCAAGUGUCUUGCCCACUGAACUGGUGCAUAAGGCCAGUUAUGGAGGUGGGUGGCGGAGAAGAGGCCAUGAUGGACGGGGUGGCUAGGAGAAGCUUGGUCAAAGCCAGGCGGGGUGGCUGCCAUCUGAGGUUUUUGGUGGCCUGGGUGGAAUGAGUUGGUGGCCAGCUGGAUCCAUGCACAGGUGUCCCUAUUGCCUGACUCUCAGUCCCCAUCGGCCCCCUGCUCAGCAGCUGCUAGAGAGUGAAUGGACAUGGGCCUUGCUGUCCUCCUGGAGGUUCCCCCUUCAAGUCAAGGCUGAGGCCCCUUGGCAGGGCAGCAGAGGAGACAAGCUGGGGGAUGGAGGUCCAGGCCUGUUAAUCCAGCACCUACACACUUCCUGUAAAGAAUUCACUCCUAAUUCAUUGCCAAGAAAAUACCCCUCCUCACUGGGUGUUGGUGCAGGUGGGGGCUCCCUCUCAUCUCACAGCAGCAGGCAAGCCCUCCCCUCCGUGUGCACCUCCCCAGCGUCCCUCUGUGCCAGGGGCUGGGGUGUCCCUCAGUACCCCUUAGCAUCUAACUGUGCCGGGGGCAUAGAGCCGUUCCUCAGGGGCUCUGAAGGGGAUGAGCCUGCAGCUGGACUGGAUCUCUGAAUUGCUGCCGUCCUGUGAGGCUGGAGCUGACCUUGAAAUUGAGCAGCCCAUGAUGGGACUGUCCGGACCCCCUGCUCCAGGUUUGCCUCGUCCCCCUGGGCCAUGGGUUUGCGCUGUCCCAUUCAGGCUCUCCCCGACCUUGCACCUUCAGAACCCUUGGGCCACAUCCUCUGGGGCUGUGAUUGCAGUGAGCGCCUGGGCUGGGCUCCAGACGCCGUCCCAUAAUGAGACGUGAGGAGCGGUGCCCAUCAGCUUCCCUGUCUAGUGAGUUCGGUGGAAGAGGGGAAUCCAUGGAGGUUUGUACUGUCAAUUGUAUGGCCAUACGUGAGAAUAAAGUUUAAAACACUGAGCUGGAGGGUGGGUGGCUAGAGCCCUGUCCCUCAUUACUGCGCUUCUGACUGUUUAUCAUUGUCCUCGGGGGGGUCCUGACCUGAUCAGUGGCAAUCGAAGUGACGGGAAAUGUUUGGAGCUACGUGGCCUGAUGUGCUUCAAUCUUCUCUUCACCCCCCACCAGCCUGCCCUGCCCCUGCCCUCCUCCGGCUGAUCGGUAUUUGUAUUUCACUAGUUUUGGCCUAUCCAGCCAAGUAAGAUGAUGGGUGAAGGUAACAUCACGGGCCAGGCCAACAUGCCAGUUCUUGGGCUCCUAUCUUCCACAUCAGGCGGGGGUCCUGCAGAACCGUUUCCACUUCUACCGUAAACCCUGCUGCCACCUGUUGUAAACCAGGACCGGAGCAGGCACGGACUCCAGUAGCGGGCGGCUAGUAGACAGUGCUAGCAAGCCUGGCCUGACUGAUGGGUCUCACGGUGGCACUGCCUGCCUUGGUGAGAUGGGGGCUGCAAGCCAGACCUGGACUGAGGAGGUGUGUUUGGAUCUGGACCAGACUCCAGGAGCGGUCUAACACUGAAUCUGGGUGAGGGGUCUGCAUUUGGAUCUAAAGGAGCCAAAAAUCUCCCAAUCUCAUCUCAUGAAAUUUCAGCUCAGACAGGUAGAAAAUGUCAUAAGAGGCACUGAAGAAAAUAUUGCAAGA
RNA transcript from Terrapene triunguis (Three-toed box turtle), 3428 nucleotides. It is a transcript of the gene named transmembrane protein 82, with no coding region annotated. The record is from RefSeq and is a predicted model, not a curated record. The transcript is spliced from 7 exons. NCBI's taxonomy places the organism in Eukaryota, Metazoa, Chordata, Testudines, Emydidae.